UGUAAGCGUAUACCAAAGUUGUUGCAGUUAAAACGCUCGUAGUCGGAAUUUGGCAGUUCCGGAAGUGUGCACGUCGUGUGCGCACUUUGCGGGGACUGCUUUUGUGGUCUUGCGUAGGAUGAGGCACUUUCAUUAGUGAACGUCCUCACGCAACCACUCUUUACUGUGAGAAAAUCAGAGUGCUCAAAGCAGGCAUUUGCCGUGAAUGUAUUAGCAUGGAAUAAUAGAAUAGGACUCGGUUCUAUUUUGUUGGUUUGUUGGGACUGAGUAUUGAUUAAGAGGGACAGUUGGGGGCAUUUGUAUUCCGGCGCUAGAGGUGAAAUUCUUAGAUUGCCGGAAGACAAACUGCUGCGAAAGCGUCUGCCAAGGAUGUUUUCAUUGA
This 382-nucleotide ribosomal RNA is filed under the name uncultured eukaryote. RNAcentral describes it as "partial 18S ribosomal RNA". It matches the Rfam family "Eukaryotic small subunit ribosomal RNA", at positions 592 to 976 of the family's 1831-position model. The record is from RNAcentral.